GCCCAUGUAGCUCAGGCGGUAGAGCACUUGCAUGGUAAGCAAGUGGUCGCCGGUUCGAGUCCGGCCGUGGGCU
This 73-nucleotide transfer RNA is filed under the name Candidatus Wallbacteria bacterium HGW-Wallbacteria-1. RNAcentral's name for it is "tRNA-Thr". It matches the Rfam family "tRNA". Rfam says of the family: Transfer RNA (tRNA) molecules are approximately 80 nucleotides in length. Their secondary structure includes four short double-helical elements and three loops (D, anti-codon, and T loops). Further hydrogen bonds mediate the characteristic L-shaped molecular structure. tRNAs have two regions of fundamental functional importance: the anti-codon, which is responsible for specific mRNA codon recognition, and the 3' end, to which the tRNAs corresponding amino acid is attached (by aminoacyl-tRNA synthetases). tRNAs cope with the degeneracy of the genetic code in two manners: having more than one tRNA (with a specific anti-codon) for a particular amino acid; and 'wobble' base-pairing, i.e. permitting non-standard base-pairing at the 3rd anti-codon position. Lineage: Bacteria; Candidatus Walliibacteriota. The record is from RNAcentral.